RNAcentral lists this ribosomal RNA (465 nucleotides) under Vreelandella stevensii. Its description in RNAcentral is "partial 16S ribosomal RNA". It matches the Rfam family "Bacterial small subunit ribosomal RNA", at positions 338 to 795 of the family's 1533-position model. The record is from RNAcentral. Lineage: Bacteria; Pseudomonadati; Pseudomonadota; Gammaproteobacteria; Oceanospirillales; Halomonadaceae.
CCUACGGGGGGCAGCAGUGGGGAAUAUUGGACAAUGGGGGCAACCCUGAUCCAGCCAUGCCGCGUGUGUGAAGAAGGCCCUCGGGUUGUAAAGCACUUUCAGUGAGGAAGAACGCCUGGUGGUUAAUACCCAUCAGGAAAGACAUCACUCACAGAAGAAGCACCGGCUAACUCCGUGCCAGCAGCCGCGGUAAUACGGAGGGUGCGAGCGUUAAUCGGAAUUACUGGGCGUAAAGCGCGCGUAGGUGGCUUGAUAAGCCGGUUGUGAAAGCCCCGGGCUCAACCUGGGAACGGCAUCCGGAACUGUCAAGCUAGAGUGCAGGAGAGGAAGGUAGAAUUCCCGGUGUAGCGGUGAAAUGCGCAGAGAUCGGGAGGAAUACCAGUGGCGAAGGCGGCCUUCUGGACUGACACUGACACUGAGGUGCGAAAGCGUGGGUAGCAAACAGGAUUAGAUACCCUUGUAGUC